This 396-nucleotide ribosomal RNA is filed under the name uncultured bacterium. Its description in RNAcentral is "partial 16S ribosomal RNA". It matches the Rfam family "Bacterial small subunit ribosomal RNA", at positions 523 to 918 of the family's 1533-position model. The record is from RNAcentral.
AUACGUAGGGAGCGAGCGUUGUCCGGAAUUACUGGGUGUAAAGGGAGCGUAGGCGGGAGUGCAAGUCAGAUGUGAAAUACAUGGGCUCAACCCAUGGGCUGCAUUUGAAACUGCAUUUCUUGAGUGAAGUAGAGGUAAGCGGACUUCCUGGUGUAGCGGGGAAAUGCGUAGAUAUCAGGAGGAACACCGGUGGCGAAGGCGGCUUACUGGGCUUUUACUGACGCUGAGGCUCGAAAGCGUGGGGAGCAAACAGGAUUAGAUACCCUGGUAGUCCACGCUGUAAACGAUGAUUACUAGGUGUGGGGGGACUGACCCCUUCCGUGCCGCAGUUAACACAAUAAGUAAUCCACCUGGGGAGUACGGCCGCAAGGUUGAAACUUAAAGGAAUUGACGGGG